Molecule: non-coding RNA, 1004 nt
Organism: Pelobates cultripes (western spadefoot toad)
Lineage: Eukaryota; Metazoa; Chordata; Amphibia; Anura; Pelobatidae
Source: the annotation of a GenBank genome assembly
GUCAAAAGCCUUACUGAAAUCUAGGUAAGCAAUGUCUACUGCACCACCCUGAUCUAUCAUUUUAGUUACCCAAUCAAAAAAAUCAAUAAGAUUAGUUUGGCAUGAUCUCCCUGAAGUAAACCCAUGUUGUCCCUGAUCUUGAAAUGCAGGUGUUUUUAGAUUACUCUACUUUGUGAAUCUGUGUGAAUAUCAGGGAUGUAUACAAUGUUCACACUUUAACAGAUUUAAAGAAACUUAAAAAAAAAUGUUCCCUUUAUAGUACUAUGUUAACCUUUCUUUGAUGGAUCUUUUCUAAGCCCCAGGGGUUACUAAACUUCAUCAUAAUUUGAUGUUCAGACAGGAUGGAUGCCUACAUUACUGAUGCCUCAAUUAAUGUAAUUUGUAGUUGCUGCUGCAUUUUCCACCCUAAGUUUAUAGUCGAGUCAAUACGUUUUCCCAGUUUUUUGUGGUAAAAUUAGGUGCCUCGGCUUAUAUUCGGGUCGGCUUAUACUAGAGUAUAUACGUUAUAUAUCGUGGAGGCAGAGUUCAAGGACAUGAUGGCUAUCUUGUUACUCUAGUUCAUUCAAAUGUACAAGGUCACGAAGGAGCACAGGGGGCAAAGCUGUAGCUACUUGAAUGUGGCCCCACACCAAUUACAGGUAUGAAUAGGAUCAAACCUGUGAUUAGGGAGUAUGAAUAUUUUCUCUGCGAGGAAGGGUUAAAUAAAAAGACUGAGUAAUACAAUUGGAAACAGAGGAAUAUGGGAAUUAGGCAAUAUGGACAAAUAAAAUAGAUAACAGUUUAUGUAAAAAUAUGUAAUUACUGAGAGUAUUAAAUUGUGCUACUGUAAAACAUAAGCAUAUCUAAAAUGCCAUAUUUUAUAUAAGCUUUUGUAUGAAAGGUACCAUAUUUCAUGUUUAUUCUGAAUUCCCAGACACCUGGUGUUUAUACAGAUCAUUGAGUGACUUUGACAUGCAAUAAUAAUUAUGUAAAGCAGUCGCAAAUGAAAACUAAAGAAAUAUAUU